AUGAGUGAAUUGACACAUAUACCCUUUUAAAUGAUGAAACCUAUCCACAAUAUCACGACCCUUUCUCCCCGUUAAAAAAUCCAGAUUCCACAUAAAACUAAAGCUAGAAGAAGCCAAUUUAUCAGCACCAACGAAUUCAACCAUCUUCAUUCACCGGUGAAUCUAACCAUCUUCGUUCACCGGUGAAUCUAACCAUCAUUCACCAGCGAUUCAUACUAUCUUCGUUGACUGGCGAUUACGCCAACUUCGUUCAUCAAUUUCAGUCAGUUCAAUAUUCGGAGCUCCCGACAACACUUUACAUUUUCGUCACCACCGUUUGCUGGAAAAGAGAUCUUGACAUCUUGUACAAGCUAUGUUCAGUUCUCCUCUCAAACCGGUCUCAAUUGCUCAAUGAAACCUGAAAGUUUCUCUGACGAAGCCAGCGAUCUAGAAGAGGAUUGAAGACUAUCUGAUGAAUAUGUUAGGAUUUAUGUGCAGUAGUUUUGGUUUGGUACGGGUAGAUUAUGUUAGGAUUUAUGUGCAGUGGUUUUGGUUUGGUAGAUGUUUGAAUGUUGGAUAUAUCUAGUUUGGUAUGAUUUUUGUGCAGGUAUUUGAUUUCAAAAGAAAAUAUGAAACAUUAAUCUGUUGUUAAUGUAAAGUAAUU
RNAcentral lists this long non-coding RNA (643 nucleotides) under Helianthus annuus (common sunflower). Lineage: Eukaryota; Viridiplantae; Streptophyta; Magnoliopsida; Asterales; Asteraceae. The record is from RNAcentral.